AUAUAUAUUUCAAUAUCAUUGCAGAGAGUGUUUUUCAGAAUUUUUGUUCCUGUACUUAUGAAAGAGGUUGGUCCUCACACUUUUAUGUCCUGUCAUAAUCAGAUGUAGGGCCACCCCAGCUGGGUACGAUAAUCCCUAACAUCUUCUACCUUUUUAUAUGCUCUGGAAUAGUUUAUAAUGUUUUCAAAGAACCAGCUCAUAAAAUUAUAUAGCCCAUCAUUCUUUUGAGAAGUAAUAUUGACCAUGAUCUCUGCUUUUUCAUGGUCAUUCAACUAUUCAGGUAUUCUCUUGCUUUUGAAUCAGGUCCACUUUUAUAGUUUUCUAUGAAGUCAUUCAUGCAUGAGUUGUUUGUAGUUAGCCUUAUUUCUGCCAUAUCAUUUUAUUCCUUCUCUUUGGAAUACUUUCCCAUGAUUUUUGUCGACAUUUUCUUUGUCUUCACCUUCUACUCUGGAAAGCAUCUGUAACAGUUUUUAAUUCUCCCAAUAUUUACCUGCAAGUUUUGUGAAUGUAUUUUUAACUUAUUUUUUAAAUGUCAGAGCCAAGGGGCACCUGGGUGGCUCAGUGAGCUGAGCAUCUGACUCUUGAUUUCUGCUCAGGUCAUGAUCCUAGGGUGGUGGGAUCACCCCCCAUGUUGCACUCUGCACUGACACUGAAGGGCCUGCUUGGGAUUCUCUCUCUCUUCCCCCCUCCCCCUACUUCUAAAAAUAAAUAAAUAAAUAAGUAAACUUAAAAAAAUAAAAAAUAGGGGUACUUGGGUGGCUCAGUCAGUUGGGCAUCUGACUUCAGCUCAGAUCAUGAUCUCAUGGUUCAUGAGUUUGAAAUUUAGCAUCGAGCUCUGUGCUGACAGCUCAGAGCCAAGAGCCUGCUUCGGAUUCUGUGCCUCUCUGUCUACCCCCCUCCACUCACACUCUGUCUCUCUCUCUCAAAAAUAAAUAAAACUUAAAAAAAAAUGUUUUAAGUAAUUUUAAAAGAAAAGUUCCCGGGUGGCAUGUUUUCUGAAUCUGCACAGCUCUGAAUGUCUUCUUUUGUUUUCCUAAACUCACUACUGGGGUACAAUAUGUAUUUUAUCACAACUUCUCACCUUCAAAAUCGAUUUAGACUUUGGCCCACUGUGUCUGGGCAUUUUAUCCUACAACGGUGAAGCCUGCAUUCAGCCAGAAUUCCAUUUCUUUGUCGGUAUGUGGACACAUAUCCAGUUUCCCCUUUCUCUCUAUCGCUAUAUAUUUUUGACAGGAUAGGAUUCAAUGUAAUAUUCUUAUCAUUGAUCUUGCCUAGCACACUGAGCCCUUACAAUAUACAUCCCUGCUUCUUUUUUUUCAGCAGCUGCAUUAAAUCUUUCUGAUCCUUUUGUUCUGGGCUCUCUUUCAAGAACAUCUAUUAUCCAUAUGCUAGCUAUCCAUUCUCUGUCCUCCUUAUUUAUCAUUUUAAAAAAAGAAAAAAUAAAUUCUGGGAAGCACUCUUCUUCUGAGGUCAUUUGUCUAAACCUUAAACAUACUAACUUAAAACAACUGCAAGUCUGUGGUCAAUCUUUGUGAACUAAUGAUUUUUUUUAUCAUUUGAAUAAUGCUAAGCUCUAUCUGUUGACCAAGUAAACUUUUCCUACCACAAUGGUUUUCUUCUCUGAAGACAAAAGUAAAAAGCUUUCUGCAACUACUAAGUUGUCCUGAUCUGUGUUUUUGAUUUUUUUUUUUUCACUCUUAGUGCCAGUGGAGAAGUGUUAUGGACUAAAUUGUGUCCUCCCACCAAAUUCUUAUAUUGAGGCCCUAACCCCCACUGUGACAUACUUGGACACAGGGCUUGGAAGAGGGUGUUAAUGGUUGGAUGAGGUCACAAGCGUAGGCUUGAAUAAGAUUAGUGCCCUUAUAAAAAGAGGAAGAGGCCCCAGAGAUCAUCCUACAUGUGCAGAAGAAGGGCAUGUGAGGAGAGGAGGAAGGAGGAGGCCCCACUCCAAGCCAGGAGCAAAAUCUCACCAGGAAUGGAGACCGCUGACACCUCCAUCUGGGACCUCCAACCUCCAGGCCCGUGAAAAAUAAAUGUCUAUUGUCCAAGGUGCCCAGGCUGUGGGGCUGUGUUGUGGCAGCCAGAGCUGACUGAUACAAGCAGUGAGGGCCACCUUCGGAGCCCAAUGUCCUCCUCCAAGAGGCACUCUGUGGGGAGUGUGUUGGCGUUCCCAUUUCAGCACCUGGUGUCGCCGACUAAUAAACAGACAAUGAACAGAGA
Neofelis nebulosa (Clouded leopard) is the source of this 2220-nucleotide long non-coding RNA. RefSeq lists it as uncharacterized. Lineage: Eukaryota; Metazoa; Chordata; Mammalia; Carnivora; Felidae. The transcript is spliced from 2 exons. The record is from RefSeq and is a predicted model, not a curated record.